UGGGGGCCAGUCGCAAAGCAAGAUCC
RNAcentral lists this non-coding RNA (26 nucleotides) under Rattus norvegicus (Norway rat). The record is from RNAcentral. Lineage: Eukaryota; Metazoa; Chordata; Mammalia; Rodentia; Muridae.